UACGAAGGGUGCAAACGUUGCUCGGAAUUAUUGGGCGUAAAGCGCACGUAGGCGGCUCUGUAAGUCGGAUGUGAAAUCCCUCGGCUCAACCAAGGAAGUGCAUUCGAAACUGCGGAGCUUGAGUAGUUAAGAGGAUCGCGGAAUUCCCGGUGUAGAGGUGAAAUUCGUAGAUAUCGGGAGGAACACCAGUGGCGAAGGCGGCGAUCUGGGAACAUACUGACGCUGAGGUGCGAAAGCGUGGGGAGCAAACAGG
Molecule: ribosomal RNA, 253 nt
Filed under: uncultured bacterium
Lineage: Bacteria
Description: partial 16S ribosomal RNA
Rfam family: Bacterial small subunit ribosomal RNA
Source: RNAcentral